CCGCGUCGCGAUAGUAAUUCAACCU
Molecule: small nuclear RNA, 25 nt
Filed under: Arabidopsis thaliana (thale cress)
Lineage: Eukaryota; Viridiplantae; Streptophyta; Magnoliopsida; Brassicales; Brassicaceae
Description: snRNA_05845
Source: RNAcentral